UACGAAGGGUGCAAACGUUAUUCGGAAUCACUGGGCGUAAAGGGUGCGUAGACGGUAUGUUAAGUUUGUUGUUAAAGGCUCCGGCCUAACUGGAGUAUUGCGAUGAAAACUGGCAUGCUAGAGGGUGAGAGAGAGAAGUGGAAUUCCCGGAGUAGCGGUAAAAUGCGUGGAUCUCGGGAGGAACACCAAUGGCGAAGGCAGCUUCUUGGCUCAUACCUGACGUUGAGGCACGAAAGCGUGGGGAGCAAACAGG
This 253-nucleotide ribosomal RNA is filed under the name uncultured bacterium. Its description in RNAcentral is "partial 16S ribosomal RNA". It matches the Rfam family "Bacterial small subunit ribosomal RNA", at positions 524 to 776 of the family's 1533-position model. The record is from RNAcentral.